Molecule: RNA transcript, 2109 nt
Organism: Felis catus (domestic cat)
Lineage: Eukaryota; Metazoa; Chordata; Mammalia; Carnivora; Felidae
Gene name: collagen alpha-1(I) chain-like
Exons: 2
Source: RefSeq, a predicted model, not a curated record
AUGUGGGCAGGGCAGGCCCAUCCGGGGAGCCCAGGCCGAAUUAGGUUUCCACGCGGUCCUCAGCAGGAUGUUUGGGAGGCGCGCCCCCUCGCUCCGCACGGAGCCGACCGGAGAGCGCGGCGCAGCACCCCACCCUCCGCGGGGCCCGAGGCCCAGGGCGAGCUGGGCCACGAGGAGGCACCACGCUGCUCGGAGCAAGCCCGUGUGCUCGCAGCCCCCAACGGCCGCCGCGCAGCGUUUCCUCCAACGUGGUGGAGAAUGAAACGGCUGGGGCCCGAACGCAGCCCGGGCCGGGAAGCGAGCGCGCUGAAGCCGCUCUUCCCGGGGGGCCUUCCCCGACGCCUUCGCGGGGGUGGGCUGAGCGACUGGCCGGUGCGAACGCCCGGGGACGGCCACGGAGGAAGCGGGGAAGCGAAUUCCUCGGUUCGGACCGGCCAGGGGCGCGAGGACACGGCCCGGGGCUGGGGAAGGGGACGCAGCCGGCAGAGAAAGCCUCCCGACACGCACGGACGGGCACGGACGCACACCGGCCUUGGCUCGGCCAGGGUGGUUCCGCGGGGGCCCCGGGGGACCCUCCCGCGCGCGGAACCGUGGGGGUCCCCGGGAACGACGGGCCAACCCCCGUGGGCUCCCCGGGGGCCGCCACGUCACGGAGGGUGUGCCCCGGGGCUCGGCGGGCGGGCGGGGGAGGAGCCGAGGGGGCUGGCUCCCGGGCCGCGCCGAGCCCCGGGCCCCCCGGGCCCCCCGGGCCGCCUCCCUCCCCGCUUCCCGGCCCCGCCGCGCCCGCCGCUCACCUACCUUCCCCGCUCCAGCGCACACCGCAGGCCUCGCACCGGGCGCCCACAGGCCGCGCGCCGCCACGACGGUUGUAGCGCCUGUCUCUUUAAAUCCGGGUCCUUGAGCCCGCGCAGUGCGCAAGCGCAGAGGUCCGGGCCCAAGGUGCUUUACGCGUCCCCGCCCCCCCUGCCACGUGGGCGGUGGUCAGGUUCCGCCGGGUGCGGCUUUGGGAACGGUGUUGGGGUUUGGGGGUGGUUCCCCGCCUGCGGUGGAGGUCAGGAAAAGUGGAGGUGCCGGGGGCGGCGUGGGGGGCAUGGUGGUAGCUGGGGUCGCACCCUGGCCUGACCUUCAGAGGUCCCCCCUCCCCGCCCCGAUGCGUUCAUAAUGUUAGAGAUGCUCCAGUCCUGAAAUCGAAUGGUUGAGAAACUGUUUUGUAAUGAGCUUGGGGAAGGCAAAGGAAUGCGUCAUUCAACCUCUUUUUUUUGAAUUUAUUUUUCUAUAUUCCCUGUGUCUUGUGUCCUGCACAAUGCCUAGCACGUUGUAUUCAAUAAAUAGUAUUGAGUUGAAAAGCACUAGAUACGUGGACACACAUUAAAAGUGUAAAGGAGUGUUGGGGAGAGUAAUCCCUUGUGUUGCUUAAACCUCAGGUCAACUUUUUGAGGGAUUAGGAUGGCUAGUUUUACAAAAGAGCAGCAGGCUCAGAGAACCUAAGCGAACUUGUUCAGGGUCUAGGAACAGCAAACAAUCGGGCAUUAUUAGGCAAACUAAAAUCAGAUUCUGGAGGGAAUUCUGUGCUCUGUGCAAAAGAGCUUGACUUUUACUGUGUAGGGGCUGGGCAACCAUAAAGGGCCUUAGGGAAUAGUAACUACUUUUGAGGCUGGGUCAGGGAGAGACUGAGGCAAGGGAAGAAAUGAAAGGUUCUUGGUGCUUGCUGAGGCAGCACGUAGACUAAAAUGGGAACAUACAGAGAAGAUUAGCAUGGCCCCUGCACAAGGAUGACACACAAAUUCAUAAAGAGUUCCAUAUUAUUAAAGAAAGAAUUUUUUCUUUUUUUUCCCCUUUUUUCUUUUUCUUUUAUGUAUGAUGGUGGAUGCUACCCAAACUUACUGGGCCCUGUGCUGUUGGCUGCUGUCAUUGCUAGCUAUCAGGCUCUUGAAGCAUGGCCAGUCCAAAUCGAGACGUGCUGUAAGCGUAAAAUACACACAGAUUUCAAAGAUGUGUUGCCAAACAAGAAAGGACUGCAAGAUAUCUCAUCAAUUAUCUAUUUGAUUCCAUGUUAAAGUAAUCUUUUGGAUAAGUUGGGUUAGUUAAAUAAAAAUAUAUUAAAAUUAA